GAUGAACGCUGGCGGCGUGCUUAACACAUGCAAGUCGAACGGUGAAGGCGGAGCUUGCUCUGCUGGAUCAGUGGCGAACGGGUGAGUAACACGUGAGCAAUCUGCCCCUGACUCUGGGAUAAGCGCUGGAAACGGCGUCUAAUACUGGAUACGAGCUGCGAAGGCAUCUUCAGCAGCUGGAAAUAAUUUCGGUCCGGGAUGAGCUCGCGGCUUAUCAGCUUGUUGGUGAGGUAAUGGCUCACCAAGGCAUCGACGGGUAGCCGGCCUGUGAGGGUGACCGGCCACCCUGGGACUGAGACACGGCCCAGACUCCUACGGGAGGCAGCAGUGGGGAAUAUUGCACAAUGGGCGCAAGCCUGAUGCAGCAACGCCGCGUGAGGGACGACGGCCUUCGGGUUGUAAACCUCUUUUAGCAGGGAAGAAGCGAAAGUGACGGUACCUGAAGAAAAAGCGCCGGCUAACUACGUG
RNAcentral lists this ribosomal RNA (468 nucleotides) under uncultured bacterium. Its description in RNAcentral is "partial 16S ribosomal RNA". It matches the Rfam family "Bacterial small subunit ribosomal RNA", at positions 28 to 507 of the family's 1533-position model. The record is from RNAcentral.